Molecule: ribosomal RNA, 186 nt
Filed under: uncultured bacterium
Lineage: Bacteria
Description: partial 16S ribosomal RNA
Rfam family: Bacterial small subunit ribosomal RNA
Source: RNAcentral
UACAUGAAGCUGGAAUCGCUAGUAAUCGCGGAUCAGAAUGCCGCGGUGAAUACGUUCCCGGGUCUUGUACACACCGCCCGUCACACCAUGGGAGUCAGCAACGCCCGAAGCCGGUGACCCAACCUUUCUAGGAGGGAGCCGUCGAAGGCGGGGCCGAUGACUGGGGUGAAGUCGUAACAAGGUACC